Molecule: ribosomal RNA, 1764 nt
Filed under: Triticum aestivum (bread wheat)
Lineage: Eukaryota; Viridiplantae; Streptophyta; Magnoliopsida; Poales; Poaceae
Description: partial small subunit ribosomal RNA
Source: RNAcentral
AUGCCGGAGGCGGCGUCGCCGCCGCCGCUGCUCCCGCCGCCGGCCUCGGCGAGCUCCCCGGCCGCCUCCGUGCUGCGGACUCGGCGGCGGCGCAGGGCGUGGCGCCGCCCGCGCGGGCUGCUCUGCUGGGGCGCCCUGGUCGCCUUCUUCUUCCUCAUGAACUGGUGGAUGUUCUCCCGCCUCCAGGACCCCGCCACGCGCCCGCGCUUCCGCCUCCGCCGCCACCCGCCCCGCGCGACCAACUCCUCGCUCUCCACCCUGGAAGAGGUGAAUGCUACUGAAAAGGGGAAGAGGCCUCACCCGGUCAUGCUCACACGCCUGCUCGCUUUGGCGGCCCAUGCUUUGGCAGAGGUAGAUAAUAGGCCAGAACCCAAAGACCUAUGGAAAGAGCCAAUAAAUGCUACUUUGUGGAAACCUUGCUCUGACCAAAGGGAUUGGGAAGCAUCAGGCAAUAUCAGUUCAUCAGAGGGAACCAAUGGUUACAUCAUCAUCAGUGCAAAUGGUGGAAUAAACCAGCAAAGGGUAGCGAUAUGUAAUGCCGUUACCAUAUCCCGGUUGCUCAAUGCAACUCUUGUCAUUCCAAAGUUCUUGUACAGUAAUGUCUGGCUGGACAAAAGCCAGUUUCGAGAUAUAUAUCAGGAGGAUUAUUUUAUCAAAUAUUUGAAACCUGAUAUUCGGAUUGUGAAGGAGCUUCCUUUGGAGUUGCAAUCGUUAGAUUUGGAGGCAAUUGGUAGCCUUGUUAAUGAUACAGAUGUCAUGAAAGAGGCAAAACCAAGUAUAUAUGUAAAAAAGAUACUACCAAUUUUACUGAAGAACAGAGUUGUCCACUUUGUAGGAUUUGGCAACCGCUUAUCUUUUGACCCGAUACCAUUUCAACUUCAGAGAUUGCGAUGCAGAUGUAACUUUCAUGCUCUUCGUUUUGUACACAAAAUACAAGAAACUGGUGCAUUACUCGUAGAGAGAUUGCAUGGCCACAUGCCCCAUCUGUCUCCUUUGCAAGAUAAUCUUUUAGGUCAUUUUGCUGGGAAAUCCGUCCCCGGUGGGAACAGGAACGGGUCGUCCAAAUAUCUAGCAGUUCAUCUCAGAUUUGAGAUUGAUAUGGUUGCAUACUCAAUGUGUUACUUUGGUGGUGGGAAAGAUGAGGAAGAGGAAUUAGAGAUGUAUCGUCAAAUUCAUUUUCCUGCUCUGACAGAAAUCAAGAGGACAACAAAAUUGCCCUCUGCUGCUUUCUUGCGAUCUGAAGGCAAAUGCCCCCUUGCACCUGAAGAAGCUGUGCUUAUGCUCGCUGCUAUUGGUUUCAAGCGCAGGACUAGUAUAUACAUUGCAGGUGCUGAAAUUUAUGGAGGGGGGCGUAGGAUGGCUGCCAUAAGUCGCCUUUAUCCUGCUUUAGUAACUAAAGAAACACUUCUGUCCCCAUCGGAGCUUGAACCAUUCAGAAACUUCUCAUCGCAGUUGGCAGCUCUGGACUUUAUUGCAUGUGCAUCAGCUGAUGCAUUUGCUAUGACUGACCCAGGCAGCCAGUUCUCUUCUCUUGUUCAAGGAUACCGCAUGUACUAUGGUGGUGGGGACCUUCCCACAUUAAGACCAAAUAAGCGUCGCCUAGCCAGCAUACUUGUGAAGAAUGCCACAAUAGAGUGGAAGGAAUUUGAAACUAGAGUAAACAAACUCAUACAACAAACUAAGCAAGUCCAUGAGAGGCCAAUUGCAAGGAGCAUAUUCAGACAUCCGCGUUGUCCAGAGUGUAUGUGCAGAACAGAUAAUUGA